UGGGGAAUAUUGCACAAUGGAGGGUACUCUGAUGCAGCGACGCCGCGUGAACGAAGAAGGCUUUCGAGUCGUAAAGUUCUUUUAUAUGGGAAGAUAAUGACGGUACCAUAAGAAAAAGCCCCGGCUAACUACGUGCCAGCAGCCGCGGUAAUACGUAGGGGGCUAGCGUUGUCCGGAAUCACUGGGCGUAAAGGGUUCGCAGGCGGAAAUGCAAGUCAGGUGUAAAAGGCAGUAGCUUAACUACUGUAAGCAUUUGAAACUGCAUAUCUUGAGAAGAGUAGAGGUAAGUGGAAUUUUUAGUGUAGCGGUGAAAUGCGUAGAUAUUAAAAAGAAUACCGGUGGCGAAGGCGGCUUACUGGGCUCAUUCUGACGCUGAGGAACGAAAGCGUGGGUAGCAAACAGG
Molecule: ribosomal RNA, 403 nt
Filed under: bacterium
Lineage: Bacteria
Description: partial 16S ribosomal RNA
Rfam family: Bacterial small subunit ribosomal RNA
Source: RNAcentral